This 34371-nucleotide long non-coding RNA is filed under the name Capsella grandiflora. RNAcentral describes it as "long non-coding RNA (CGRA_LNC001251)". Lineage: Eukaryota; Viridiplantae; Streptophyta; Magnoliopsida; Brassicales; Brassicaceae. The record is from RNAcentral.
GAUAAGCAAGUGAAGUUUAUAUAGGCUCGGCUUCAGUGUUUUAGAAGAGAAAAAAGCAAACCAACAUACGUGAUUCAUCAUUAAGAAUCAGAAACAAGACACUGCACCAAGUUUCUUCGACUAUGAUUCUCAAUUAAAACUUGAACCGUGCAAUCUAGUUGGAAGAUUCUUAGCAACUCAGUAUAAAUUAGGAGGAGAGUUACCUUCUAAUGCAUUCUCUAGCAUCCUUUUAACGAUUUCCACUGAAGAAUCUUCAACAAGAGUGAGGAGAUGCUUCCCAAUUGCUUCAUCAACCGAAAGACCAGUCAACUCAGCAAUCUUUGUGUUCCAACCAUUAACCAAUCCAUCAGAAUCAACCGCCAAUAUUGGCACCGUAGCAGUCUCAAUUAAACGAACCAUCUCACUGGUCACAGCUUCUAGUUCUUGUAUACCAUCAAUUUUAAGAUCAUUUAGCUUAGAGUGAAUGACCUUUGUAUUCAUAUCGGUAGUCUCACCAUCCUUGAAAGCAUUCCUCAGAAUAAGCUGCAAGGAGUGUAUUGCAUCCAUCUCAUAGUCCUUCCAAGGUAAACUUCUUGUCUUGACCACUUCAAGAAAAGCCUUGAACGAUGACCUCGGGUGCAUUCUCCUUGCAUCAUCCCUAUCAUCUGGGUCAUGCUUGGCACCUCCCCAUCUCACUUCACCAGCGGUAUGAGAACGGAACCAGAAAAUCAUGUCUUUCGAUGAUAUCCUUACAGCUGCCAUUCCACAUACUGAAUCCCCAAGAGAUAGAGCCCUCGGAAACCCAGCGUCAUGCAAACUAUCAGUGCUCAAACCUGUUGAAUCCGUGUGGUAUUCACACAACCAUGAAGCUAACUCCUGUAGAUGGAACUCACUUGGAGUUGUUCCCAGUUUCCAUAUCUUGUCUUUAUACAAGAGUGCUGCUCCAUCACAUUUCACCAGGUCCAUUAUGUUGGGGCUCUGCGACACAAUACCCAGUGGAGCAUCACGCAUCAGCAUAUCACACAAGAGUGUCUGUGUGCGCAAAAUGUUCUUCUCCACAAUUUGGUUCUCCAGUUCCACCUCUUUAUUGACGUGUAUCGCAAACACUUGAGCUAAGAACUCACAGGCAUACCUGAGAGGAAAUGGAACAAAUCUAGGAGUCGUAUUAUGACAAACCACUAAACCCCAUAAUCUCUUUCUCUUCUGAGGCUGUGUAGUAGAAUCAGGAGCAUCCCCUUCUCCAUCUUCCUCGUUAACAACAACCGCCAUAACCAGAGAUGCAAUUGAAUCCAUGUUGGCCAUGUACUGCAAAUGGCAACUGUGCGGUGCUCUGAGGGUAGAACCACACAAGGUAAGAUCAAAGGAAAGCUUUUCAUCUUGAAGCACCCUAGCAUGUUUUGCAUUGCAAUCAACGAUCAUCCGGACCUUGUUCUUCAUAAACAGAAAACGGGCUGCUUGAGGGAUGUCGGUGGCUGGAUAAUGCAGACCAAGAUAAGGCUCCAGCCCAGGUUUUGUAACCUCGGAGACAACCUCACCGUGAUCAUCUUCAUGAAACUUAUAAGCCAUCACCCUGUCAUACCCCGUGAGUUCAAAAACCUCCUGUACCAUUGUAUCACAAAGCCUUUCCAUGCUUCCACUGGGCAAAGAUUGCAGCCUAGUGAUUGCUUUGGCAGCGAGCUUAUAUGAUUGUAAGGCACCAGCAGCUGUCAUCGGAACUUCAUAAGGCUUUACCGGUUCAAAGUCGACAAUGAUACUCCCUGUAACCCUGUGGACAAUCGCAUAAAAGGGCUUUGCAGAAGUCUUGCAGUGCACAAGAAUGGGAUUCAACAGAGAGACAUCUCCAAAUCCAAGGGCUUUCUGCAAUGCAGAUGCACUAGGAGCAGUGAAAAGACUCCUUAUAUCUGUUCCAAUGCCUAGAACAGGGUGUUCGCCAACACUAGGAACUGCAUGACUGGUCAUUGUCAACAACUCCGGAGCAUUCUCGCUGUAUGCAAUGACUUUGAAAGUCUUCUCAUCCAAGGCAAGCAAACAACCAAAGGGCUGAAUCAGCUUUCCCUUCUGUAUGUGAUGAAGAUAAGUCGUGGUCACCUUGUCAGACCUCGGUGGCUGGUUCUCCACAACCGGGCCAGUGACACGCACCGAGGUUGAGUAAUCAAAGGAACUGCCUGACUCCUCAAAAUCAGCAUGGAGCUUCGCAUCUACAGUGGUCUGCGCAAUGAUUCUAGCGCUGUGCCUUGAUCGCCUUGAGCCCUCAGAGGACUGACUCGGCCUAGACCCUGACAUUGUUUUCCUGACGGAGAGACAAGACAACAAAAUUAAGUGCAAAAAUUUUGUAAAGAGGAAAAUAUUCAUGCGGUAAUCAUAUGAACACAAAAGCACCAGUCAUAGAAGAAAAUGCAUAAGCAUAAACUUAAAACACUAAGAAUCAAGAAUUUUCAAACACUAAAUUGUCGCUACAGCUCAAGUUCCUUUCAAAGUAAAAAGAGGCAUGGACUACUAGAGUAACUCAAUCGAGAAAGUCUGCCUAGCUAAAACCAAAAACAGGACACAACAGGUGCAGGAAUCAUUCUGCUAUAUUCCACUAUUCAAUGAUUUACCAUUCUCAAAGCAACUGAGCCAACUUAAGUAUGAUGUGUAAGGACAUAGCUAAGGAGUCAAUAUUCCAUGAACACUAUCAAUUGAAGUCAUCCAAAAAUCCAAAAUCAACAAGAUGGGACAAUUAACAUGUCGCACAAAUGGUCGUAGAUACUCAACAGGGACCAUCAACUUGACAGAUACUAACAAUAGCGAGGAUCAGAGAAAAAUGAUGCCUUUCAACAUCCAAACACAGCUAAGCAAUACAUAAAAUAGACUUGAUAUAAACUCUUGAGAGUCUUUAUAGUUAUACCUUUCAGAAAGGAGUAAUAAAGUCCCACAGCGAAAGCAAUCUUAAAAAUGACGAGAGCUAGGAUGAGAUAAAUUGGAUGCUUCUUCUCAUAAAUGAUCAGAGGCUACAAAAUCUGAGUAAAACAAGCACACAUCAAGCCAGAUCAAAAGAGACCUACAAAAAUCUUUUAUUGGCAGAAAACACGGAGUCAAUAGAGAAAUAGCUUAAAACUAAUUAACUUCAAAGUAAGGAUUGGAUUAAUCACAAAAGUAACGCAACCCCCGGAAGAGCUUACAGAGUAUAAAGAGUGAGUCUAGUUGCUGCUAAGCUCUAAGCAGAAAACAAUGGAAGAAAGCUUCAACAUAUAUAUAUACAAAUAAAGAAAGGAGGAAACUUUGGGAAAGGGAAAGUAGCUACCUUUAAAGAGAAGAAAGAAGAAGAAGAAGAGGAAGAUUCAAGAAACCAUGAUCAGAUCUUGUCUAGUCACACUCUUCAGAAGUUUUUUUCUUGGGUUGGUUUAGUUAUACUAAAUCUAGACCUCGAUCACCGCCUCUUCUCUCUGGUCUGCUACGUCUCUCUACUCUCUAUUAUUUGUGCUCCCUAACACAGACGACGACGAUGAAGGGACCACCCAAAUACGUAUGCCCAUGUCUCAGAGUAUGGGCAAAUUGUUAUAUAGUAUAUUAUAAUCGAAUAAAAAUAAAAGAUAAAAAAGCUUAAUUUGGAUAAAAGACAAAUCUCACACACAAAUCAAGAACAGGGUCGGCUUCGCCGGUAACAGUUUGCUCACUAAAACAGAACAGUAAGCGAAGAUAUGAUAUACUUAUAUAUAAAAAAAAAGUUGGCACCUUUCUGGAAUUCAAAGAAAAAAAAAAGAGAGUCUUUUAAUGGAAUUUUUAAAGUUUUAGAUAUUUUUCACCGAUGUGAGUAAGAGUAAGACUGGGUAAUGAGGAGAAAAAAAAAACAGUAAAGUGGAAGAACAAAGUUGAGGGGUGAUCUUCUUUAAAUUAGAUUAGAUUUGAAGAGAAUCAUACAAUAAGAUAAGAUGAAAAGUAAAAAGGAUUAUUAAUAUAAAAACAAGAAAGAGAGAUGGGAAGGAGGGAAGGGGGUAGUUGUUUAAUGAAGGCAAUAACCAGAAGUGGAAAGUUGUGUUUGGGGAAGACGACAAGGAUGGUCUUAUGGGCUUCACGUUUUCUCGGCUUUUUGCGUUUUGUUAUCUGCUUCUCUUAUUUAACUUCAUUUGUAGGGACUUUCCUUUUUUGUAUUUCUUAUUUUUUUUAUCAAUUUCCAAAUUAACAUCAAAUCUCAUCUUUAAUUAAAGUGGAAACUUCCUUCUUCCAUUAUUUUCGAACUUUGAUUCUUCUUAUCCAUCCAUGGGAAUGACACAUCGGGAUAUUUUCACCAAACCACGCUAUCAUGAUCACUUCUUAUUAGCUAUUGUAUCUAUCGUCUUUGUUAUAUUCUUCCACUAAGAAAAUUUCACAUGGAUAUUGUGAUAUAUAUAUAACAAACUCUGCAAAAUUUACUUCAGGAUUGUCUAAAGAUGAUCAUGUCCAAAACAAACUCCGCAAGUUUUAGUUCAAGAUUGUCUAAAGAUGAUCAUGUCCAAAAAAGGAAUCGACAACGUCUCAUCUAGACAGCGCAACUUCACUUAGAUAUUGUGGCACAGCUAUGUUGGACCAAAAGAGUGCCUCUAUAAUGCAAACGUCCUCCAAGCAAAACAGCCAUGAUCCAUUAGACAGUCAUGGCCCAUGUUGCGUGUCUGGAUUGUCAAAAUUCUAUCUUCUAGAUCCCAUUUCAGGAAGAAGAACACUUGAGGAACUGAACAGAUGUGAUUUGAGUGGGGUUAUAGCUAUUUGGAGAGGUUUUAACGGCCUAGAACUAUCCAAUCCUUGAGAGGAUUUGGAACAUUAAGAGUUAAAGACACAUUUUGGGAGCUUUUUUCUGAAUCUGAACUCUAAAAACAACUGUCCGGUACCAUAUGUUACUUUGUUUUACAUGCAAGUACCAAGAGUAAAGAAAAGGGUCCUUAUAUAGAAACAAAAAUGACCUGUUAACGGUCAAUGUAAAGAGAACAGUUAAAUCUGUUCAGUCAAUCUUUACAGUAACAACAAAAAUGUCAAUAGGUACUUUAUGUAUCUUUAAGAAGCACAAAAGGAUGGUCGAAAGCAAAAGACUAAUCAUAUUGUUCAGUUUCAUAGAACCAUGCACAACAGAGAGAAGAAAAAUCGGAAUGUUCUUCUUCUUUUUGAAUGAAUCAGUCUCUGCGACUCUGCAAAGCAUCCUCGAGAUCAAGUUCUAACCCAACACGAUUCCUUAUAGACGCAGCUGCGUGACAAGACGACGUCGUUUUACACAUCCUCUCCAAUUCCUUAAACCUCUCACAGUCAAACUUGUGACUCUUCAACAGCUUCCUCUGCCUCGACAAGAACAGUCUCUUCAUGAAAUCCUGAUAUGUGGGAUCCCUCGAAGUCAUCAAGAAAUAAGCAUAACCCACGAUGAUGCCAGUCGCUGUAGCGAAGAAAGUGAUUGGUUCCAUCACAUCCCAUGAGAAUUCCCAGAAAGUUAAUCUAAAAAAGAGCCCAAUUUGAACCAUGGAAGUAGCCAAACCACACCAAAGAAUCUUCCUCACUUGUCUAUGAGCAAGAACAUCAAUCUCUUCUUUCAUGGUUCUCAGCUUAUUGAAUUCGUCUUUUAUCUGAUCUUCCUCUGGAUUCUGAUCCAAAGGCAUCGCCCGUCUAAUCAGAUCCACCACCUAAAAACAAAAGUCCAGAUUUUUAGAGAAAUCGAGAAGAAGAUAGAACAGAGUAAAGUUUCGUUUUUUCCGAGGUUUGAAAAAAGACCUUAUCUGGGUGAAGAAAGACUUUAUCACGAAAAAUCAAGACAACGCCAGCAUCGUCGAGAACACGAGCAAAGAUGUGAGCUUCAUCAGGAGAUCUAGCGAUACCCAUUCCUUGAGAAGCUUCUAAAAGUGAAGUGUAAGAGACGACAUCUCUAUCAGCCAUACCAACAAGCUUCUUCUUCAUGUCUUCAACAUUUACAAGCCUCAUCAGCUUCUUCGCUUCCGCUAUAGUUACCUCUGUCUUCUUCUUCUCUUCCUCAUCCGACGGCGGUGUAUUGACGGUGACGCAGCUUCUUGAUCCACCAUGGACAAGCCAUGUCCUUUGUGAAGAAGCUCUGAUGGCGCUGGACAUUGCCGUACGCCUGAGCAAACCCAUUGACCACAUUACGAACCCACGAAUCUGAAGAUCUGAGAUAUUCGAGAAAGCGAAACCAGAAAAAAGUUAGGUUCGCAAAUCAAAGAUUAAAAGAUAUGAGAAUCAAGAAAAGGUGUGUGAUACGAUUCCAAACAAAGUGACUUAACACGUUUAAUUACGAAUCUCAGAUUCUUCUAUUAUAAUUAAGAGAUUAUUAGGAAAAUCGAAAGAGAACAAAAAAAGGAAAAGAGAGGAGAAGCACGUAGCCAUUUGCUUUUUAUCUAUAGAAUUUUGGAAAAAAGGUAAAAAAAAAAAAGAAAGAUUGGUAGGUAUGAUAAGAUUGUUGUUGACUUGGCAUGAAAUAUGGCUUUUACAUAUCCCAAUCAACUCUCAGAUAACUCAAAAUCAAUUUGAUUUGUUUGGUGGAAGUAUACAAUAAUAAAGUACUAAUUGUGGGAUCUUGUUUAGUUUAUAUCCAACCACCAUUCUGACAAAAAAAAGAAACAGAUAAUGAUCCAAACAAACAAACAAGUCCCUUUGUUAGUUUGAGUUGAGGAGUUGAGAGAGACCAAUCCUUUUCAUCGGAGUUGAAUUUGACAUCAAGUUACUUCACUAUAUAGCACAUUACAAAACAACACGUAUCCCUGACUUAAGAAAGAACAAACAUUUGUUUUUAUUACAUCAAGUAACAACAACAACAACUUGUUGCCAACACAUUUCCUUCAAUUUAUCAUAUUACGCGGAAUGAUGAAUUCAUUCUCCACGAGUGUACGCAAGCAAAUUCUUUCUUCUGUUCAAUUAUAUAUUUUAUAGCAUGAAAACGUGGAAUCCCUAAUUAGAAACACAUAUUCCUAGCUUUCAAUUCGAUCAUAUUCGUUGUGAAAGCGCUUUAAAAGCUAGUUUGAAGCAUAUGACACAAACAACCAAACGAAAGCGUACGUAGAGAAAACGCAGAUAAACAAAGAAACACCACAAUCGUUUUGCACUGCCACGACAAGAAACACAAAUAAAAAUUGACAAUUUGAUUGUAGAGAAAAACAAACCUAAUUACAUUUAGGGAGAUCGGAAAAUCAUCAUCUAUGAAUGACAUACCUGAAAAAGUACUUCGACAGUUUUUGUUCUCUUAUGAUAUUUAAUGUGAAUGAUGAAGAAGAAAAUAAUGUUAAGCACUAUGUCCACCACCACGGCUUGAGAGUUUUUGCAUUGUUCUUGAGAAGAAAGCGAGAUUAGUUGUUAAGUUAUGCUCUCUCUUGUUUUGCCGUUUUUAUCUCCUGACCACUGCUUAAGGGCCAAAUCCGUUUUUAUAGUAGUAUGCCCCCCUGCCUAAAAAUUAAAUAUGAUGAUGAUUACGUAAAACACGACUUUCAUGAGUCAUUUAAUGCUAGAUUAUGAGCUGACGACUUUGCAAUAGGUUUACCACUUCCGUAAAUGGAUAAGUUAUUAAAACCAUAUUAAACAAUGACAUGAUGACUUGUAUUAAUGUAUCGUACCAGAUUUCUAAUUAACAAUAAUAGUUAGCCUGGCCGUACGAAUACGAUUGUUAAAGAUGUUUGUUUUUAAUCCCCUCAUGCAAUAGUUUAAGUUUUGCUAAUUUGUCUUUUAAAAACAAAAAGGAACUGCACAGAUCUAUAAAAAAAGUUUAUAGAGACUCUGCCAAAUCUUGUCUUUAUGACUCCAAACUGCACGAAUAUAUGAGAUAAGAAUUUAAAAAAAAAAAAAAAAAACAAUUGCGAAAUGAGAUUAGAAAAGGCAACUAGUUGAAAUGUGUUGUUUAAUGUUUUCUUAAAUAAACCACAUCAAAGUAAUUACUUAUUUAGAUCUAUAUUGGACCCAAAGCACAUCACUUGGGCUCAAUUCUCAAGCCCAUGAAGUAGCCUCAUCAAGGCCCAAUCAAAUCGUCUACACUGCAUCCCAAGAACAAAGAAAAAAAGAAAAGUACUUGGAGCAAAGAUCUGGCCACCAGAACACAAACGAUCGAUGAAUACAAUCGGAAAGUCUGAAAGCUCGAUGAAGAUGACUUCUAAGAUGCGCCGUGGCUUACCGACGGCGUUCAUUCUCUUCUUCCUGGUUCCGGUAUUGAUUCCGGUCGGCGAGGCGGUAUGGCUAGAUGUGCCUCCCACCGGGACAAAGUGUGUAUCUGAAGAAAUCCAGAGCAAUGUCGUCGUUUUGGCUGAUUACCUCAUCAUCUCUGAGGAUCAUGGCGUCAUGCCCACUAUCUCCGCCAAGGUAUCUUUCUUCGAUUUCCUGUUCCGAUCAUCUGUGCAUGACUGCAUUAUGUAUCUGUUACUAGAUCCCUAGUUUCACCUGAUCCAUUUAGUCGUUUCCCUCAAUUAAUUACACGUAAUUAGGAACAAUUGUAUAUUUAUGAUCGAUCGAAGUUUCCUUUUUUGGAUAAUUGUGCUCAUGAUGAUAUGUAACAACAUGUCUAUCUUUGAUUGUUCUGAUGAGUUUCGGUUUUAUUUUAGAUUUGCAUUCAAAAAUUUUGGGUUAAUUAAUGAAGGGAGCUUCAACUAAGUGUACUCUCUCUCUUUUGGUACUCUUUGGUUAUCUCAUCUUUGCAGUGAAACACAAAUACAUUUGGUAAUAGUUUUUGCUAGUUCCAUAUUGUUUGAUGAAUUGUUUUAGAUAAUGUCAUUGGAUUGAGGGCUGUCUUUGAAGUCGAACUUGAAUAUAGCUAUCAAAAUAUUGAAAUGUACUGGUCCUGGCUAGUAUCUUCUGUUUCUUGGCUCUGAGUUUUGAGAAUCUUUAUGGUGCAGGUGACAUCCCCAUAUGGCAACGUUCUGCACCACAUGGAAAAUGUAACGCAUGGCCAAUUUGCAUUUACAACCCAAGAAUCCGGGAACUACUUGGCGUGCUUUUGGGCAGAUGCAAAGAGUCACGGAAACCAAAAUGUUAGCAUCAACAUUGACUGGAAAACUGGAAUAGCUGCUAAGGAUUGGACCUCUAUUGCUAAGAAAGAGAAGAUCGAGGUGAGCUUCCACAGGGAUUUUACAGUUCAGAGAGCGGAUGCCUAUGUUAUGAUUCAGAAAAUCUGUAAAGUUUGUUUCUUUAUGACAUUUGGUUUGCUUGAUAACAUAGGGUGUGGAGCUGGAGAUCAGGAAACUAGAAGGUGCAGUUGAAGCCAUCCAUGAAAAUCUACUCUACCUAAGAAACAGGUACAUUUAGCUACAUUUACAACUGCUCAUGUCUUCUUGGUUGGUUGAUAAAAGUUUUGUGGAUCAAAAUGCAAUUUUUGCAGAGAAGCAGAGAUGAGGACAGUGAGUGAGAACACGAACUCGCGGGUGGCUUGGUACAGUAUAAUGUCGCUGGGUAUUUGCAUCGCCGUCUCUGGUCUACAAGUAGUCUACUUGAAGCAGUACUUUGAGAAGAAGAAGCUUAUAUAGAGAUUCACUGAUCUUCAAUUCCAUUGCUUAGAGAAUAAUAUUCAAUUCUUUCUCGUUUACACGCUUUUUUUUUACUGACGCUGUAAAAUUUUGCUCAUGGGAUUUCCUGUAGCUUCUCUCUGAUAAGUAAUCAUUCUUUAUAACUCAUAAAACUGAAGAAAAGAAGAAUCAAGCUCCCAAUGAUAUAGAUUUUCCAAGAACCAUUGAUACUGGGUGUGAUUUGAACUUUAUGUUAGUUUGGGGCGAUAACACAAGUUUUACAGUAUAAGGAUUACCUUGACAAUAAAAACCUUGGUCGAUAAGACGAUGAGUUUAUUCAAAUGGGCAUGUAUGUACGUAUAAGCCCAACGUUCUGAUCCAACAGGGCCCGUUUAGAAAAACAAACCCUAAUAUCAAAGAGAUAUAAAUAAACCCUAAUCACAUUUCGCAUCCUCCUGAGAGACGGAAAAAUGCCGGCAGGUCAUGGAGUUCGGGCGAGAACGAGGGAUCUGUUNNNNNNNNNNNNNNNNNNNNNNNNNNNNNNNNNNNNNNNNNNNNNNNNNNNNNNNNNNNNNNNNNNNNNNNNNNNNNNNNNNNNNNNNNNNNNNNNNNNNNNNNNNNNNNNNNNNNNNNNNNNNNNNNNNNNNNNNNNNNNNNNNNNNNNNNNNNNNNNNNNNNNNNNNNNNNNNNNNNNNNNNNNNNNNNNNNNNNNNNNNNNNNNNNNNNNNNNNNNNNNNNNNNNNNNNNNNNNNNNNNNNNNNNNNNNNNNNNNNNNNNNNNNNNNNNNNNNNNNNNNNNNNNNNNNNNNNNNNNNNNNNNNNNNNNNNNNNNNNNNNNNNNNNNNNNNNNNNNNNNNNNNNNNNNNNNNNNNNNNNNNNNNNNNNNNNNNNNNNNNNNNNNNNNNNNNNNNNNNNNNNNNNNNNNNNNNNNNNNNNNNNNNNNNNNNNNNNNNNNNNNNNNNNNNNNNNNNNNNNNNNNNNNNNNNNNNNNNNNNNNNNNNNNNNNNNNNNNNNNNNNNNNNNNNNNNNNNNNNNNNNNNNNNNNNNNNNNNNNNNNNNNNNNNNNNNNNNNNNNNNNNNNNNNNNNNNNNNNNNNNNNNNNNNNNNNNNNNNNNNNNNNNNNNNNNNNNNNNNNNNNNNNNNNNNNNNNNNNNNNNNNNNNNNNNNNNNNNNNNNNNNNNNNNNNNNNNNNNNNNNNNNNNNNNNNNNNNNNNNNNNNNNNNNNNNNNNNNNNNNNNNNNNNNNNNNNNNNNNNNNNNNNNNNNNNNNNNNNNNNNNNNNNNNNNNNNNNNNNNNNNNNNNNNNNNNNNNNNNNNNNNNNNNNNNNNNNNNNNNNNNNNNNNNNNNNNNNNNNNNNNNNNNNNNNNNNNNNNNNNNNNNNNNNNNNNNNNNNNCCAGGAUUCAUGGUUGAAGGCAUGACCUUGGAGACUGUCACUCCAAUCCCGUACGAUGUCGUCAACGAUCUCAAGGGGGGCUAUUAGUUCUACUUUCUUGCGUGUUUUGGAGCUCUUCCUUUAUAUGUUUUGUAGCGACUUCAAAUUUUUGUUUUCGACUACGAAUAUGAUUUAUAUAACAGGAGUUUUGCAGUAUUAUUUAUUUUUGUUAUUGUUUGAUUUGUUUCUUCCAGUUUCUAAAUCUCAUGUGAAAUUAACUCUUUUGAGCCUAAUCGAAGAUACUCUUGAGUUUUGAUGCGGUAAAAGGAAGUUGAUAUUGUCUGGUAAACAAGCUAAGACCUUAAACUUCUUCUUGGAUCAGUUGGGUGCAAGAGGAAUAGAGUUGCAUGCGUAAAGGGGAAAUGUUGAGCUUCUUGACAGAAAAUGGAACUUUCUAGAAGUCGAUACGGUGGACUCUUCUCCAGCUAUACCACUCGUGUUACUUUGAUAUAUUCUACUGCAGAUUCCAUUCCCAGGUAAUCUUUAUUCAACUUUUGUUUACCGCUCUGGUCUUCCGUUGAGAAACAAAUGAUAGAUAAAUCCAUGUUUUCCUAUUCGAGAGACACAAAAAUAUGCAACCUUCUCAGAUUUUCAAACACUUAGCUCUAUAGAGACAGAUUGAAAAACCAGCUGCUUCCUCUUCAUUUUUUUUUUUUCUCCUGUCAACAUUUUCGUUAUUUCUGUUUUUUUUAAAGAUUGAACUUCCUAAAAUAGAUAAAAACAAUGAAACUUCAGUUCAUCCGUUGCUGUCCUAAAUUUCUCAUUUUCUCAUAGGCGGCUAUUCGCAAUUUUAGGAAUCCACUCAAGACUCCUUAUUUCUCUCUCUCUCCAUUUAAUCUUACCAUGAUUUUUUUUUCUCUCUCUCUGCUGACCCAAGCCAACCUUUGAUUCUCUAAUUCAAUUUGUUUUCUUAAAAAAAAAAAAAAAAAAUUUGCCACCCAAAGAAUACGAAUCCUUGUUUGAAUCCACCACAUUUCGAAAUCAUUCUUGCUGAACUCAUAUUUUCCAGUUUUCUCUUUUUGUUUCCCCCCUUCUUCUAUCCUACGUUAGAUUUUAAGAUCUGUGUUAAUCCCAAUAAGUUUGGUUGCUGCUGUUAAGAGAUUUCAGAAACAAUUUGGUCUAAAGAUCAAAAAAACACAUUUUCAUCCAAAAGCUCGAAUUUUUAUCCCCUGUGGGGAAUUGGUUGUGGUGGGUGCAAUUUCAUUCCUCAGUGAAGAAUAAAGAAAGAUUAGGAGGCUAAUUAAAACAUACAGUUUCCUGAUUCCGAUCAGGAAACUGUGGACUGUUCACGGAAUCACGAAACUCUGUAGAAUUAUGGGAUGCAACUGCACCAAAGGAACACGAGCAAAUGAUCACGUGGAGAACAACACGAAUGUUACUGGGAGGGAGAGACGAAGCAAGAAGCCUAAGACAAAGAAAACCUCCAACAAGAAGAAAAAGUCUGCUUCCUCUAGCAAUGUAGGAGCAGAGGAAAGAGGCAACAACAACGAAUCCACAUUGAGGUUUUUGAUGCCCAUUGAUGCCAAGGACAAUGAUGAUGCGGAGAAGAAGGUGAAUCUUGAGAGAAAAUCUUCUAGAUCGGUGUUUCAGAGACGCCCCACCACCCUUGAGGUGGCAGGGACAUUGCAACAACCUAAGAUGACUAGAAUAUGCAGUAUUACUAAUGGAGAAAGAGGUGCUCAGGUUAUGGCUGGUUGGCCUUCUUGGUUGGCUUCUGUUGCUGGAGAAGCUAUCAAUGGAUGGAUUCCACGCAAGGCUGAUUCUUUCGAGAAGUUGGAAAAGGUGAGGCCUUUUUUUUUCUGUGUGUUUUUCUAUAACUAUGACAUGAUUUGAUUUUGUGCCUUGUCUUGAAUUUUCACAUUGUUGCUCACUGUUAGAUUGGACAAGGGACCUAUAGCAGUGUCUACAAAGCCCGGGAUUUAGAGACGAACCAACUAGUUGCACUGAAGAAAGUGCGGUUUGCUAAUAUGGAUCCCGAGAGUGUUCGGUUCAUGGCAAGAGAAAUAAUCAUCCUUCGAAGGCUUGACCAUCCUAAUGUUAUGAAGCUUGAGGGUUUGAUCACUUCAAGAGUAUCAGGGAGUAUGUAUCUUAUAUUUGAAUAUAUGGAACACGAUCUUGCUGGCCUUGCUUCAACCCCUGGUGUUAACUUCUCCGAGGCACAGGUAUUACUAUUUUCUCCACAAUAUAUGCAUUUGCUAUUAUGUGGUUGAUGUUCAUCUAAUGUGUUGUGCUUUGCAGAUUAAGUGCUAUAUGAAACAGCUGCUUCAUGGUCUAGAACAUUGUCAUAGCCGAGGCGUAUUGCAUCGUGACAUCAAGGGCUCUAAUCUUCUGCUUGACCAUAACAACAAUCUCAAAAUUGGAGAUUUCGGUCUUGCCAACUUUUACGGGGGCCAACAGAAGCAGCCUCUCACUAGCCGUGUUGUAACUUUGUGGUACCGCCCACCUGAACUAUUGCUCGGGUCAACAGACUAUGGAGUUACUGUGGAUCUGUGGAGCACAGGAUGCAUAAUAGCUGAACUCUUUACUGGGAAGCCUAUCAUGCCCGGUAGAACCGAGGUAGAACAACUACACAAGAUCUUCAAACUUUGUGGCUCACCUUGUGAAGAGUAUUGGAGAAAAUCGAAACUUCCACAUGCCACCAUCUUUAAACCCCAACAACCUUACAAAAGGUGUGUAGCCGAGUCAUUUAAGAGUCUUCCAUCUUCAGCUUUGGCCCUAGUUGAGGUUCUUUUAGCUGUAGAACCAGAUACCCGUGGAACCACAGCUUCUGCCCUUCAAAGUGAGGUAAAAGCUCUACCAUAACAUUCAACUUUUGUUUAGCGGAAUGCAGUUCUAUACGCUACUUGUCUCACACUUUUGUUUCUUUUUGUUUUGUUUAGUUCUUUACGACAAUGCCUUUUGCAAGUGACCCCUCAAGUUUACCAAAGUACCAACCGAGAAAGGAAAUUGAUGUGAAGGCGCGAGAGGAAGCAAAACGGUAAGAUCAAGAUUCUACUGGUAUCAUAGUGUACAAUUUUUUUCUGAAGAUUUCGCCAUAAUAUAACAAUUUAAAAAGAGCUCGUCUCUGCUGAAUGAACACUGACAUGCCCCAAUUUUCUCUCAUCCACCAGAAAGAAAGGCACUAGCACUAAACAAAAUGAGUCAAAACAAGUAUCUAGAGAAUCUAGAGCUGUGCCAGCUCCAGAUGCCAAUGCUGAGUUGCUGACAUCAAUACAAGUACGUCUGAUUCUGGCAUAUUACACCUACAAAUAUAUUAUGGUUAGAUUCAUGUGAUCUUAAUUAUCUGUCUGUUUUCUUGUUUUUUAAAGAAACAUCAAGGGCAGCAGAAUAAAGAUGCAGCUAGCUUCCGGAUAGAACCACUGAAGAGUGGAACUCCACAAGUCGGUUACAAUCGUUAUGGUGUGUCCUCUGUGAAUAGAAAUGGAGAGAAUGUUAUGAGGGGUUCGAGUCGUUCUCCGAGAAAAGAAUUGAGGACGCAGCGGUCUUUUGUCCAACGUGGAGCAGCCCAAUUGUCAAGAUUCUCAAACUCAGUAGCUGCUAGAGAUGGAUCACAUUUCGCUAUAGCGAAUCCACGGUGGCUUGAAGAUAGUUAUAGGAGCGAUGGUGAUUGGUCCCAACGUUUGCUGGUUAAACCAAAAGGUUCUACAAAACACAAAGAAUCCAAACCGGUAAAAAGGACAUCCAAACUGUGUAAUUGUGCUUUUCCUUGCAGUGGAACUCUUGGUGGGCUAAUCCACAAUUCUUUUGGUUAUCUUUAGGUUUACGGUGAAAAGACAGAGAGAAUGCACUACUCAGGGCCAUUGGUUUCUGCAGGAGGAAACUUAGAUGAAAUGUUGAAAGAACAUGAAAGACAAAUUCAGUUAGCGGUUCGCAAAGCUCGGGCAGAUAAGAAGAUGAAUAGAGACGAUAACAAACAGGCUCAAGCGUUUCUUGCUGCAACUGGCAGGUGAAUGAAAUAUAUCAGAGAAGAAGAAACAAAGGAAGAAACUUUUGAGAUAUCAGGAAAAGUGCUGAAAGGUUUGGCGUUGUAGAGUCAACUGAUCUCUUGUGGGGUCUUGUGUAAAGUCCAAAGCUAAACUUGUGUGAUAUAUUUGUUCUUGUUCUUGUAAAAUUUUAAUUUGUUUAGUUUUAGUAGAAUAAAAAAUAUUAUUGUUAUCUUGGUAUUUCAAUUGCACUAAACGAUCCCACAUAACCAAAUAUCGAUCCUUUUCAAGAUUGGUUCUUUUUUUAAAACGAUCCAACCACCAAGAAACUUAAAUAGAAGGCUUCACUCUCUUGCUUCUUGCAGAACCUGAAAUUAGCUGCUCUGUCUUACUCAAGUACCCUUAUAGUUUCCUUACCUUCAUGUCUAAGCAUAAACCCAACUUCCUCUUUCAUCUCAUCAGCAUGUUUCCUAUAAUUAUAUAGGAACAAGUCUGUAACUUUUGCAGAACCCAAGUUCUUUUGUUUGAAUCAGACAAUGAAACCUAAAGCAAAUCAAAUCCACAAACACAAGCUUCUCCUUGUUUGUCUUCUUGCCACCUUAAUUCUCAUCUUCAUCGUGAGAUCAACUCUGACAUCUUCACGGUCACGCCAAACUUCAGAAGAGACAAGAUCAGCGCGUUGCUCUGGUGCCUGCAAUAAGCUCCCACGUUCCCUCGCACAAGCCCUGAUCCAUUACUCGACUUCAGUUAUCACUCCACAACAAACGCUUAAAGAAAUAGCAGUUAGCAGUAGAGUACUCAGCAAGAAGUCACCCUGCAAUUUCUUGGUGUUUGGUCUAGGCCAUGACAGCCUCAUGUGGAGCUCUCUUAACUAUGGAGGCCGGACGGUAUUUCUUGAAGAAGAUGAGGCAUGGAUAAAACAGAUCAAGAGACGGUUUCCAAUGCUGGAAUCGUACCAUGUUACAUACAACAGUAAAGUCAAUCAAGCCGAUAAUCUCAUAGAAGUUGGGAAAGGACCUGAAUGCACAGCCAUUGGAGAUCCAAGGUACUCAAUGUGUCAACUAGCACUCAAGGGUUUGCCUGCAGAUAUCUAUGAGACUAGUUGGGAUCUAAUCAUGGUUGACGCACCAACUGGCUACUACGAUGAGGCUCCGGGGAGAAUGACAGCCAUUUACACAGCGGGAAUGAUGGCAAGGAACAGGAAACAAGGAGGAGAGACCGAUGUGUUUGUGCAUGAUGUGAACAGGGAAAUAGAAGACAAGUUUUCUAAGGCUUUCUUGUGUGAAGGGUACAUGAAGAAACAGGAAGGGAGACUAAGGCAUUUUGUUAUCCCUAGCUAUAGAGUUGGAUCAAACUCAGAAUCAAAUAGACCAUUUUGUCCAUAGUGAACAACACAUGUUACCUUAGAUCUCCUCUGUUUCUACCAAAUCUCUUUAUCGUCCUUGUUGUUCUUCUACUUAUUCACCAUCAGUUUAUCAGUAUUGAGACGAGCAUAGGCAACAAAGCUAUAGCAAAAAACUAGACAUUCUUAAUGCAUAAUAUCAAGUGUUCCUGUAAAUGAACAUUGGCAACUUUGUUUCGGUCCAGUAAAGCUCCACUUGUAAGAGAAAUCUAGCAAGCUGAACCAGGGUAAAAAAGCAGCACAAAAAAAGCAAUAUUGCUGUAUCCAUAAAAAAAAAAAAACCAGAUCUUACUACACAGUACCAGAAAUAAAAAGUAAAAACUCAGCAAAAUAGUCUAAACAGAUAACUAUCAAGUCCAACUCGUAUAAAACACCAAACAUUCUGCAAACUCCCACGCCUUGAGCCUCUUGACUUGUAGUUGAAACUUGCCCGACGCUUUUCUUUUGGUCUACACUUUUAGGCUGGAGGGCAGACGCUAGUGCUGAUGCAGUUAAAAGUGUUCAGUUUAGUUGACCAGAAACAAAAAGAGUAUCCAUGCAGCUUCUAUUAGGAAGCAAUUGUAAUGAAAUAACAGGCUUUUACCUGGUCACAAAGAUAGCGGUUGGACUGCCAGGAGAUGGAGGAGUCUGCGUCAGCACUGAAGCAAGUGGACCAGCUUUUGAAACAUCAUCAGGGUUACUUGCAGAAUAUAUUUCAACCUCUUCAAGACCAAGUUGUCGCUUGAUCAAAUCCAUGUUACUCUUUAGGACAUCCAUCUCUCCAAAAGGCAACCUCAAAUUUAGAGCCUGAAUGCCAAUAGAUAUUGCCUCGUCCUUCUUGAAUUUAAGGAAAGGCCUGCAAAUCUUUAGGAUUUGUUUGAAGGUUUCUGGUUUUUGUCCCUCCUUCUCCAAUAUCUCCCUCAGUUCUGCAAGUGUCUCUUCAUCCGGGGCAAAACGACAGGUUUGUUGGUCAAAAUUGCUUUGCAGAAUCCUGAGGCAGUGAGCUCUCCAUCCAUCAAAUUGCUCAUUAACAUAUACUAGGCCUUUUAAUUUCCCCUCUGGCACUGCUGUUACCUGAGCACCUUUCUUAGAAGCCUUCUUGGAACCUAAAAGUUGUUUUUGUAGAAGCUUUCUCAUUAACACAAUAGAAUCUUGCAAAUAUUUGUUUGCACUCUUGAGCACCAAAUCUGGCUCAGAUGAUGUUGGCCAGCCUGCUGUUACCACACAACCUUCCUUCUUCAAAAGUUUCCUCCAAACAUAUUCUGCAAACUGGGGACAAAUAGGUUCAAUGAGGCGUGUUUGCACAUCCAUAAAGGUCAGUAUCAGGUCAUGGUUCAUGCCACCACUUCCACAAGAGAGUCUAUACUCAUCACGAGCAGCUUGCAAGUCGUAAAACCCAUUUUUAAGUGCCUCCCUAAACAAACAAUCCUUGUAUGCUUUUUCAGUCAAUCUGAUGGCAAUGUUCAUGUCAUUUUCAAACACUUUAUCUGCAUAUGUAGAUGGAGGGCCCGUUCUUAAAGAGGAUUCAGCAGCCAGAACUUCUUCCAUCCAGGUGAGCUCUUUUGUCAGCCGCAAAAUUGCAGCAUUUGCAGUUUCAAAAACAAAAUUUGCGUCGUCAACACCAUCACCAGCAUCAGCCAAAGAAAACCUUGUAGCAGUGGCGGAGAAUUCUUCAAUAGCCUGGCGCAGGGUUCUAAAAUUUCCAGUUGACUUUGACAUCUUUUCAGAAUUGAGCAUGAUGUGACCAUUACAUCUGAUGCCACGUGGCCAGUUACGAUUCGCCAUCAGUGCAGUGUGGUUGUAGAUAAAAAAUGUCAAAUGAUUCUGAAUAAGAUCCUUCCCUGAAACUCGAAGGUCUAGCGGGUACCAGUAAUCAAAUUCCUGCUUCAUCUUACUCAAGACAGCUGAUGAAAUAUCAGAUGAUUUUGGGUACGGGCCAUCACAGAAGAGAUACUCCCAAACAUCAUCAUUCAUCUGCUGAGGGCUGAUCAGAGACUCGCUACCUUUAUACAUGUCACCUCCACCGUGAAAGAAAUGGGAAACUGUGUAAUAGGCCAUAUAAAGAGAUGAAUCAGAUAAGGAUUCCACAAGGAACUGUUCAUCCCAGGGAAUACGAGUUCCUAGACCAAAAGACCUUGAGCAAGCCCACUGAUUGAGCCAGCUCAGAGUGUGCUCAAAGCCAUGCCUUGUUUCAUCAGAAUAGAGAUUCAUUUUUGAUAAGCAUUCCUCAGCCAUUUUCCGCCAUUCUGAUUCGCCGUACGUUAUGUACCACUGAUCUGUGAGAGCCACAACACAUUCAUCACCUGAUCUAGACAUCACCGGCUUUUCGGGUUCACUGUAUAUGAUUGCCUCACCAGUCUCUAUGAGUUUUGUCUUGAUAAUGGGCUUGAUAUCUUGAACUCUCCUACCAACAAACUCUCCAAUAAGCAUGGUUCCUUCGGUAAAUCCUUUCAGGUAAGUCAACCUUUUGGCCUCUACAAGCUUGUCCUUAUCAUUUUGACUUGCAAUUUUCAAAUCCAAGCAGACCCUUUCAGCAGCCUUAUCCCCAAAUUCCGGAAUGUUGAUAAUUGGUAUGAUUUCAGAGGGCAGCCACUCCUGUUUCACACCAUACUUUUCUCGAAAAGCAGGCUUGCCGUUUAAAUCUUUUAAAGCCAUGUAAUCAUCAGGGGCGUCACUAGGCACACUGGUGACAAUGCCAGUACCUUUGUUGGUCAGAAUGGUCAUCAUAGGAAGGGCAUAGAUGAUGUCGUUGACUGCCAGUGGAGACCUUAAAGGGAGUCCAAUCAGAUCAUACCCAGUCAACUCAACCAAGCAGGAUGGCUUCUGAUGGAUCUUAGAGAAGUUCUGGUAGGCAAGGUUGAGUGCAGCUCUCUCAGUAAGGAUAAAGACAUCAGUUUCAUUGAUUUCAUAAGCUCCAUAUUUCCCAUCAGGCAGUACCCAAGCGUUUGUUUGUCCAUACAUGGUCUCUGGCCUCAAAGUAGCUGCAGCCAAGUAAACUCUCUUUCCUUCCAAAGGACCCAGUUUCAGAGGAAAUGGCUUGACAACUUCCAUCUUUAUGAGUGUAUACUCUUGAGGCUGAACACCUUCGCCAGUAGCACGGUCGUGAUCUGCACAAGGCUGGCCAUCUAAAGGUGAGAAUAUUGUGUAUCUACGGUCUUUAACAACCUUUCCCAUAGAUUUCAACUUCCUCAUUUGCCACCUCACAAAGGCAUCGUAAAAGGGAUUAACAUCAGUGGUGACAAAUGACCGUCUCCAAUCACAACCCAAUCCAUAUGCCUUGAGGUCCUCCAUAGCCAACGGGGGAAAGUAAUACAACCAUUUAUAAGGAUCUUGGAAUUCUGCAAUCUCGCUAUCAGUGAGACCAAAGCUGCGCAUAAUCUCCCACUGAUAAACCUGUCCACCAGACUUGGCAGCCACCUUGGACUUCUUGCCCUUGAACUGACCAGGUAAAGCUGGUGUAUCACUGCUCUCCUCCAGAACUUGAGGAGCUUGGUUGGUUUUGGUAUCAUCAGCAGUGAAGACAGGAGGGUUUCCAAACUGCUGAAUCUCACGAGAAAGCUUGUCGGCGGAAGCCUUAAUUGGCAUACCAGUACAAUGGAAGCCAAAGGGAAGAAGCACAUUAGCUCCUCUAAGACGAUGGUAAGCAGAAGCAAAAUCGACCUUGGAAAGUGAAAAAGCAUGCCCAAUGUGUAGAUAACCAUUCAUGUACGGGAAAGGGAAAGUCGAGAAAAACUUCUCUCCGGGCUUUGGAAGAUUCUCACGAGAUUCAGCCUUAAACACUUGCUCAUCUUCCCACCACUUCUGAACCGCUACCUCAAUCUCAAGAAGACGAUCUCUCCUUGCGUAGCUUUUCGAAUUAGAUGCCAUUACGUGACAGUGCCUACCCAAAUUAAAAACAAAAAACAAACCUCAAUACUUUGGAGAACAAUGAUCGGAUUAACAUCAAACUGAGUAGAGACGCAGAACAUAAAAGAGAAGAUCUGAGAGAAUUACCUUAGGGAUGAGGAACUUCGAGGAAUCAGGAACCGAGUCCAAUGCGAAAGCAAUCGCAGAUUCGAGAGAGACUGAGCCAGUUGGGAGAUAAGGAACUUGAUUUCUAGCUAGGGUUUAUCUUUCAGACUCUCUUUGGAUUUAACCGCAGCCCAGUCACGUCCAAGAAAGUGACACUAUAUUAGGGUAUUCAUCCGGCUUUUUGUUAUUUGCCAAUUUCGGUUCAAUGAUUCGGUAUAGUCUUCUCUUAUUUCCCAAUUUCGGUUCGAUUAUUCGGUUCAGUCAUUUCUUUUAGUAAAUCCGGUCCUAUGUAUUUAGACCGUCGAAAGUCGAAACAAUGGAGAUCAUUGAUUGAAUGGAAUGGGAUAGCGACAAGUUAAGCUUCAGAUUUCCAUUCUAAUUUAUUUUAAAAGAACUCAAGUUACGCAUAUAGAAAUGUAAAGAAAAUCCAGAGACUAUCAGAUGUAGAGUUCUCGACUUGGUUUGGUUGUAUAGAAUGUGCAUGCAAUGCAUGUUAGAUUGUUCUUAACUUUGAUAAGCUAUAAAAUUGUCUAAACACUCAUAGACCUUUCAUCAAAACAAGAUUUUGUUUAAUAUAACCAUAAACUCACUUCUCCGGACUUUAAACCUUUGAUCAAAUUAAGAAAUAAAUAUCGUAACUAUAAAAUUAAAAACAAAAUUUUGAUACCAAAAACAAUGCAAAAAAUCAAACUUAAAGUUGUCUCUUCACACGAGGUUAUCACCGCGUUCCUUCUCGUUAGCCUUGCUCUUAUCGUCUUCUUUCACUGGAACUUUCUUCUCGUUAGCCUUGCUCUUACCAUCUUCUUCUUUCGCUGGAUCUUUCUUCUCCAAAAUAAUAUCUCCUGUUUCCUCACGAGGUUUCAAGAACCGGAAGAGCCUUCCGACAAAACUGGAUACAAACGCCACGAUUAUUAUAGCUAUGACGAUCAAACACCAUAACAUGAUUGAGUUCUCCAUCGUUUUCUUUGUUUUCGAUUAUAAAAGAAAAAGGUAGUAAACGCAGAGUAGACUUGUUUCGUGGUGAUCAAACUUGCUUGCGAGUAUAUAUAUAUAUAGGCGGGAACUACCGGAAAACUUGGAAAUUUACCAUUUUCAUAAAUAAAAACUUGCUUCAAACUAAUAUUUUAUUAUCCUUUUUUCUCAAUCAGUUACUGGUAUAUUUCCUGUUUCAGAAUUUCACAAACUAGGAAUAACAAAAUACAUAUACUACAAAAGAAAAUAUUUUUGUUUGCCUGUCUUCUUCGUAAUUUUCUUUAUUUGAUUUUUCCUUUUUUUAAGAAAAUCAAAACUUCAAAUAACUGCCUUCAAAAUAUUUAAUUUUCAUAAUUUGUAUGAACGAUUCCCUACUCCACAUUUGAUGUCGAAUGUCAUUUUAGAGAGUUGUUAUCAACAAAAAAAAAAAACAAAACAAAAAAACAAAUGCAACUUGGAUAUUUUUAGCUAGUAUAUGUAACACAACACAAGCCUUCAAAUAAAGUCCCACAUGUAUUGGCUUUUUAAAGUGAGACACAAACAAAAGCCUUUCAAGACGAAGAGCAACAAGGCUUCUUCGCGUUUGAAUCAGAAGUAGCAGCAACAUCAAUUGUUUGGCCUUCCUUGACGUUGGCAUUUGCAGUUGCCUGGUCUGAAGAUAUCGAUUUCUUGCUGAUGAUCCUGUAAAUCUCCGAGAGAAUCGUCUGAAAAGCUUUCUCUACGUUUAAUGCCUCAAGGGCCGAUGUCUCAAUGAAAGAUAAGCCUUCUUUCUCUGCAUAGCUCUGAGCAUCCUCUGUAGCAACUGCUCUAAGAUGCUUCAGAUCUGUCUUGUUUCCAAUCAACAUGAUCACUAUGUUGGAAUCAGCAUGGUCUCUGAGUUCUUUUAACCACCUGCUUACAUUCUCAAAGGUUGUUGGCUUAGUGACAUCAUAGACCAAAAGAGCUCCAAGUGCACCUCUGUAGUAGGCGCUUGUUAUGGCUCUGUAGCGUUCUUGCCCAGCAGUGUCCCAUAUCUGAGCUUUCACAGUCCUUCCUUCCACCUUAGAACAAAGAUCAUGGAUUUCCCAAGAGGUUAAAUAACGAGCAGCAGCAAAUGCGUAAAGAAUACACUGAUAAAAUUAGCAAACUUGCAGCCAAAUUCCACAACAAAACUCGAGACUGCGAAACAACAACCAUGAUUCUUCUUCAUACUUGAUUAUCAAAUUUUACACUUUUCAUUGUCUAAUUAGAGAAGUAAAAUUGUGAUAUAGAUCAAUGUCAGUAUUUACUAUGAAGAGAUUCUUAGAUCUGCCUUCAACAAGGUUUUAGAUCUGACAUGUGAGGCAGCCUCACGCUAAACUAGCCAAACGCUAAUACCAUAGUACAAGAAGCUUGGUAUCAUUAUCAACACUAAAUAAUCAGAUUGCAAAGCACACAAGUAAACAUCAAAAUUCAAAACCAAUACCAGAUGUUCCUACACACACAAUUGGCUGCUUCCGAGUAUUUCGAAAACAUCUUAAACACAUGAACGGGAAAUGAAUACAAAGAAGAUAGACAUAGAAAAUGACCACACAAACGGAUCGAACCACAAAGCAACCCAAAAAUUAAAGGACAAGUCCAAACCGAAACUUACAAGUAAUCCUAGAUCGAGAAACAACUGAGAUUUACACGAAAGAUAAAGAGAGAUGAGUAGACAUACUUGGAGAGUACGAGUAGCGAAUUCGACGCCGAUGGUGGAUUUGGAUUCUAAGCAGAACUCAUUGCGAGUGAAUCUAGAGAGGAGAUUUGACUUGCCGACACCGGAGUCUCCGAUCAAAACCACUUUAAACAAGUAGUCGUAUUCUUCAUCCGGUCUUCUCGCCAUUGUUACACUUUUUCCGAGAAUAGCUAUCGAUUUGGGAUUUUGAAAAAGCCAAGAAGAGAAGGAGAAAGAAGAAUGAAAUAAUAAGUUUCUUACAUAAAUUAUUAAUUUAUUAUCGAGUUCUCGAGUUUGGGCUUAAAAACUUCAAAAAAGGCUAAAUCUACUAUACGAAUUCGCGUUUUGUCUUCUUCUUAUAGUAAAAAUUUAUGGCAUCUUACAUUUUCACUAUAUUAAUCAUAGCCUAAGCACCACCAUUGAAAAAAACGUUGUUACAAAUGUCGAAUAUGAUCAGUAACUUUUGUAGAAGAGCCGAGACAAAACAAAAAAUUGUAUUCAAACUUUUCACGUAACCGACGAUAGUCAAUACAAUAAUUAGAUUCAAAAUGAAAGCGUUAUGAAACAAAUGCGUCAAACACCAAAAAAGAAAGAUGUAGACCGAAACGAACUUCAAUGAAUGGGAAUACCGGAAUAGGAUUAUGACAAAAACUGGAAAAGUAAUAAGAGAGCUUAACCGGAAAAUAAAACAAAAUCAGAAUUAAAACCGAGCCAAACCAGAGGAAUGCACUUGUACAUUUUAAAAACCCUAGUUCAUAUAUCAUCUCGUCAACACUCCUUUAUAGCUCUCUCCGCCUCAUAUCUUUGCUUCUUCUCUCGAUUUGCUCUCUCGGAAGAUUUUCCCAACGCCUGGUAAGAUGCGUCGGUCUUUUAUCUCUAAUCAGCUCAUAUUCAUAUGCAUGAUCGUAUCAAUUGCGAGCUCACUGCUUGAUGUUUUCCUUGGAACCAGAUCCGAUUUCAAAACCCCGGAGUUGGUAUAUUUUCCGUCUGAGCAAUGGCUUUGGUGAGUUCUCUAUGACUCUCUCUUGAUACGAUCUCAUCUUUGUACUGAUAUGUUGCUACAUUAAUUGUAGUAAUCCUAGGGUCUAAGUCGUCGAAAGAAUUGUUUAUAUACCAAUUUGAUUAAAAUUAAGCUAGUUUGGAUAUCUAGCUGAUGUUUACUAGUGUUAUGUUUUUGAUGUGGGAUACAUACAUAUCUAGCUGAGAAUGAACGAUCAGUUUUGCUGAUAAAUUGCGAUUGCAGGUCUUGCACACGUACAAGGGAAACAAAAGUGCUGAUAAGGCACUCAUUGCAGCAGAGUACGUUGGUGUGCAGAUCGAUGUGCCCUCUGACUUUGAGAUGGGUGUCACUAACAAAACCCCCGAGUUCCUUAAAAUGAACCCUAUUGGCAAGGUUUGUCAAUACUGCUGGUUGCUUAAUUCCUGGAAUAUAUAUUAGUCUAUUUCCAGCUAACCAAAAGCGAUCUGAUCUUGCUAGGUUCCUGUUCUUGAGACUCCGGAGGGAUCAGUAUUUGAGAGCAACGCCAUUGCCCGUUAUGGUAAUCUAUUCAUAUCUUUAUCCUUCAUUUGUCUCUCCAUAUCUAGUUUAAUUGCUUGUCGGUUAUAAUGAUUCUUUUGAUAUCCCAUGGCAGUAAGCCGAUUGAAUGGUGAGAAGAACUCUUUAAACGGUUCUUCCCUGAUUGAAUAUGUAAGUAUCUGGUUUUCUCUGGGGUUACUCUUCUCUUAUCCAUUUGCACCUCCUCUAUUGUUUGUCAACCUAUUUGUUAGUAUUGUCAAUAAUUAUCUGCAUGUAUCUUUUUGCAGGCACAAAUUGAGCAAUGGAGCGAUUUCUCAUCAUUGGAAAUCUAUGGAAACAUCUUGAGAUGGUUUGGCCCAAGAAUGGGGUUUAUGCCAUACAAUGCUUCGGUAAGCUUUUGUGAUGGCAAUCUAUGUACUCUUUUCACUAUAUAAAUAGUACACCUGUUUUUCUCACCCCUGAUUGUUAUACAAAUGAAGGCUGAGGAAGGGACUAUCUCUGCGUUGAAGAGAGCACUUGAUGCUCUAAACACACAUCUCGCUUCCAACACUUACCUCGUUGGACACUCUAUUACCCUUGCCGAUAUUAUUACUGUCUGCAACUUGAACUUGGGAUUUGCUACUGUCAUGACCAAGAAAUUUACCUAUGAAUUCCCACACGUUGAGAGAUACUUCUGGACCGUGAUUAACCAACCCAACUUCAAGAAAGUGGUGGGUGAUGUCAAACAGACUGAAUCUGUCCCUCCUGUUGCUUCCAAGAAAGCUGCCCAGCCGGCCAAACCCAAGGAAGAGCCUAAGAAAAAGGAAGCCCCGGCAGCAGAGGCCCCUAAGCUUGCUGAAGAGGAAGAGGCACCAAAGCCUAAAGCCAAGAACCCUCUUGACCUUCUACCACCAAGCCCAAUGGUACUGGAUGAUUGGAAGAGGCUGUACUCAAACACCAAAUCUAACUUCCGUGAGGUUGCUAUUAAAGGUGUGUAGUGAUAUCUUUCCUUGGUUUUAAACUUGCUAUCAGGAAAUGCAAGGAAUUUGUUGAGCUGUUAGAAUCAAAUAUGCAUCAUCAUUAUGUCUAAUAUUGUGGCUCAAAUGCAGGAUUCUGGGACAUGUAUGACCCAGAGGGAUACUCGCUAUGGUUCUGUGACUACAAGUACAACGAUGAGAACAUGGUGUCAUUUGUCACGCUCAACAAGGUAGGUGGGUUCCUUCAGCGCAUGGACUUAGCACGUAAAUACGCCUUUGGAAAGAUGCUGAUUUGCGGGUCGGAGGGUCCCUUCAAGGUGAAGGGUUUAUGGAUAUUCCGUGGACCAGAGAUCCCUAAGUUCAUAAUGGAUGAGGUGUACGACAUGGAGCUGUAUGAGUGGACUAAGGUUGAUAUCUCAGAUGAAGCACAGAAGGAGCGUGUUAGCCAGAUGAUUGAAGAUGCAGAGCCAUUUGAAGGUGAGGCUCUCUUGGAUGCCAAGUGCUUCAAGUGAAAAGAGAGAAUGGUUGGGUUUUGCAGUCGAGGCUUACAUAUAUCUCUCUCUUAUCUUCUCCUUAGGGAUUUUGCUCUGUGACUUGUGUCGCUUAUACUGUUUUUCUCUCUUUCUAAUUGAGUGUUAAAGACAAGCUAUGAUCUUUUUGGUUCUUUUGUUAAUGUUUCAUGUGUUUUUUUUUCUUGCUGUGCCAUAAAGACCAGCUUUAAAAAAUAUAGACCUGGUAAUUUCGAAGUUCUGUUCCGGUUAGUGUUGAGUCUACCCUGGCGAUAGGCAAAAACUGUUCUUGUUUAUCGGCUUCGACGCGUUUCGGUCAAAUUCUGUGCAUUGUUAGUCUUCGUGCUAAACAUUAGGUCAAGUCUUUUGACAUAUUGGGCAAGUGUUGCCAAUUAAAAAAAUUGUUACAUAGUUAAUUUUGAAGAAUAAGUCGUAGUUAAUUUUGUAGAUAUGACUUGUUAAUUAUUUUGUUCAUAAAAUUUUCUUCAGGUCAUUUGUAUAAGUUAUUCACUCUAGAAUUAAAAAUAACAGUUAAAAAUUAAAAAUUAAAGGUAUAUCAUCAUCAAUUAAUUACAUAAUUCAUUAAAGUUGGUCUCAGACAAAAAUGAAUUGUUCUUUACUACAAGGCAUAUAAUCUCUGUAAUUGUUUUAUUUUCAACAUCAAAAGAGUUGUUCGUUCUACCAGAAGAAUUUGUUCUUUGCCGCAGCAAAAGAUCGAUCCGUCCUUGUUGGUUUCAAGCGAAGUUUAUCGAUAGCCAAGUACAGGAGCAGAGGGAGAGAGAGAGAGCGAGAUAUGAGAGAGAGCUCUGCAAGUGAUCUAUCAUGGCGGCGUUUGAUAUUCUUCGCUUCGAUUGGUUUGCAGUUCGUCUUAGGUUCGUCUUCUUCAGAUCUAUCUGAUUUCAUCCUCAAAUCAAUUUUUCUGUCGGUUUUGUAGAAUCAUCGGAUUUUUAUGUUCGUUUGGGGAUUUAGGUUUCGAAUUCGCGAGAUUUAUGUCAAUUUUAGCUCAACUCGGCUCUUCCCUAGAUUUCGUGUGCAUAGAGCUCUUUUGCGAUUCGGAAGCAAGUCAAUUUCCCUGUUGAUUUAGAUCUUCGCCACACAGUUGCUAAACUUUGUGCUUAAAACAUACUUAAUUAAGCAAAGAAGAUUGUACUGUUCAAUUUCAUGGCUUUGGUUUCUAUGGUUUUUAUGUGGCCAAUAGUUGUGUUACCUUGUCCUAGAUGCGAAACCAUGUUCCUGAUUUGAAGAGUUUGUCUUUGCGUUUCAUUUCUUGUAACUACCACAAUGGUAUUUGUAUAAUUCAUCAAUAGAUUCAGGGUGAUGCCGCAUUUGAGUUGUGAGACAUGUAUUACCAGUUUUUGGUAAAAGUCAUUGAAUCUCGUUGCUCUCUCUAGUUUCAAAGAAGUAGGCUAAUGCGUAUCCCGUAAACUCUGUAAAUGCUUGUUGCAAUUGAUCUUGUUCUAUGUUGUCAAUGUGUGUAGUUGUUGCUCCUCUUUAGUCGAAGAUAAGAAACAUGCUAUCUAUGUUGAGGAUAUAUUGUGUAGCUUACCUAAAAAUUUCGUUAAAUUCUUAGAUGUCAUCUACUAAAUCUUCUGAUAUGAUAUUUGCAGGCCUAUCAGGUGAUUCCAAGAAUACGAAUGCAGAGUCUCGUUCUUCUUCAAGCAAAACAGGCACAAAAGUAAUCCUCGUACUAGUCGGAUUUGUGGUUGUGGCUAUGUUCUCGUUCUUCCUAUACAAGCUAUGGCAGAAGAAGAAAAGAGAUGAGCAGUAUGCUCGUCUGUUGAAGCUGUUUGAGGAAGAUGAUGAACUGGAGGUUGAAUUAGGUCUUCGAGAUUAAACACGCAACUUCGUCAACAAAGGCCUCAUGUAUGUUUGUGUUCGUUUGUCUGGUCAUGUAGGUGGAACUUAUGGGCAUUUAAAUUUGAAGUAUAUAUAUAUGCACACUUUGAUGGGUAACUGAUCUAGCUGUCUUGUCACUGAUCAUCAUCAAUUCUUCAUUACACUCUCUAGACGAUUGUUUUCGGUUUGGAAAUAAACCUAUGAAACUUGUGGAAUUCUCUACUUGUUUAGCUUUAUUAGGUCCAAUUUUGUACAAUUAAAUUUUCUAUCUUGAGAGGGGAUUCCUGCAACCUUGCUCUUCUUUUGGGAUAGAGUAAAUAUACAUUAGUUACUUAGUUAGAACCCCAAGGGAACAUGUAUAAAAGAAAAUUGGCAUGGUGAAGUAUACAAAACUUAUGGUGAGCAGUUUCAAAGAAAGUCAAAACCAGAGGCGAGAGAGUGAGUUAAGUGAAGAAAAUUUAAAACAUAGAAAUGAAAUUAAUCUUGGGUUUCAAACUUAAAUAAAGGUUACAUGAUUAAAAACGAUAUUACAUUUCAUAAACACCAUUAUUAGUUUAUUACCGACUGGUUAAUGGUCAUCUCAACUAACCAACAAAAUUUUCAAAAAUAAAGAAUAAACUUAAUGACAAAAUAAAUUAAUUGAGUCGUCCAAACUCCAAACGUUAGAACUUAGAAUAUCAUCACCUCCGCGGAUAGAUGCAUAGAGAACCUUUUGCCCGCCCCACACGACCAUAGCAUAGUUUCUGUCCCAAGCAGAGAAAAAGAAACAUUGAUCAUCUUUCAGGUCAAAGCCUUAUUGUCCAGUCUUAGCACGCUUGCUGUUGAAAGGUGACAUGCUUGGACUCAGACAAGGGCUCAAGCUCGGACUCGGACUCUCCUCCCUUAGUGUACCAUUCAGAGCAGCUAACUCCUUCAGCUGUUCCCUCUUGUAGUGAUCCAUUGAUUCGUCCUGUAGAGAGAAAAUCCAAAACCAUGUGAACAUAAGGUUUGGAGUAACAUAACCAUAUAGAUAUGUUUGCAAUUUUGUGAUGGUAAUGUACCAUUGGCUUUAGGAGUGAUUCGAGGAAAUGCACUGCAUGCUCCAAUCGAGAGUUUAUUAUGUCCUCUGGAAGCUCAGCUUCGAUCAGUACAUGUAGUGGCUCACAGAGAUGCUCAUACCCUGGCUUACCUUUUAGUUUUUCCUCCUGCAUGGAAGUAACAAACGAAAUAAACAAGCCUUGACACCUCAUGGUAUAUAAUUAAUGUAUGGAAAAUAUAUAAAAAACUCAGAAGAAAUGAAUUUCAGUUUUGAAACAGAGCUUUCCCUAUUCACACUUCUAAAGAUGUUAGUUGAUACAAAACCUAAAACUCAAACACUUCAUUUCAUGUACAGGCUUCCAAAUUCUAAAUAUCUUCAAAUGUAUACAAGAGUGGGAGCUGAUGAUGCAGCCAAAAACGCAUCAUUACUUCAACAAUAAAUUGCUAUGCUAAAAGACAGUGGCAUGCAAACAAAUUGCUCCUAACGACCGUAAGAAAAUUCUGCGUAUAUGACACAUGUCUAUAAAACUGAUUAAUAGGUAAAAACAUAGGAGACAAAGUGAAGUUUUGAACUGUAAGAAGUCAUCUACACUUGGGUUAACACAGUUACAAAAUGGAAUCCUUCAGGGAAUCAAUAAACAAAAGCCAAACCUUGACAGUAUCCUUCACAGAUCCUCGCCCUCUAAUAAACACCCUGCAGUGGGUUGCUAGCUCAACUCUUUUUAGGGAGUUUCCACGUGGCCCAAGAAUCCGCCCAACAAAAUUAUACUGCAACGUUCAAUGAAUAAAAACUCUACAACAACCCAAUUAUAAUAACAUAUUUGGGUAACUAUUUAAAACUUACGCUAGGAUAUUUAUCCACUGGCACAUCAAGUCUAAUAACUCUUUUCACAAUGGGUGGGUUAGGGAGUCCAGGCAUCCCAACCCAGCCCACAGAGGCAGGAGCACGAAAUGGAGAAGCUCUCUGGAGGUGACAGUUUUCCUGAAGAAAGCAAAAGCAAUCAAUAUUAAACAUAAAUCUAUUAGCAGCACCAUCAUAAUUCAACACGAGUCAGUUAUCUGACUACAAAUACCAGCAGUGGCUUACCUCCGCUUGCAUCAUUGACCAUCCUUCUAAAUCAAUCUUUCCAUUUGUCGGCUGGCCAAGAGAUCUAAAUGGACUGCCAUGCUCAAAUCUAUCGAGGUCAGGAAAACUGGAGACUCUCCUGAUUUCUGCACAGACGACAGCAAAGCAUGCAAUUAAGCAAACGUAUAAAAGAAACUGUAACAGUUGCACCAAUCACUUGUUCACCCCAGAAAUUUCUUAAUUUAGUGUUGCACACACUCAAGGAAAUACUUAAUUCAAAAGCAUAUAGCUUUAUAAUACAGCCCACCUUGAUUUAGCAGUCUGAGGCAAUUUGGCAUAACUUGCAAAAAGGGACCCAACUUUUGUCUCUCUUGCAAUAACUCAGUCAGGUACCUGAAUAAGGUUUAAAACAAAAAACAAUAAGUUUCACCGGAUACUGCAUUGUUGUGUAUUGAAACUAUCAAGUGGUUCACAUUUGAGUCACCAUGAAAAACUAAACUUCCAAAAAUACAUCUGUAAGUUCAUUUCUAUAACAUUUGAAACUAUAUAGCUUUCUUCUUAAAACCUUCGAGUACAUUGUUUAGAGGAAUAAAUUGUGAAAAGGCGACAUUUUGAAGUGAGACUAUGAUUAAGAAAUUGGAUCUGCGUGAACAGAAUCAUUCUAUCGAUACUCAUCCAAUCAAAGGGAACAAUACCCAACAAUAAAAAACACGCACACACUUCAUUUUCAAGUAAAGCAGCAAGUCCACAAGAAACCGAUCCACAACAACCAAUCUAAUUUCGUCCACAGAAAAAAAAAAAAAAAGAAGAAGAAGAAGAAGAAGCUCACACAGAUUCACAUUAGCAAAAAAUAGAAGUAGAGAAAGUGGAAACCUUUCACGAUCAGUGGGAGGGCAAGGGGAUCGAUUGGGAGAAGCACGGAAUCCAGAAAGAGGAUACUGGAAGAAACUACCAGGAGAGAUCCUCUCCUCCAUGGCCGUGAAACCAGCGCCGGAUUCCAUCAUCUCUACACAGUCUGCAAAAUCCACUCAGAUUGUUAAGUAAGAAGCGCAAUAAGAAGAAUAGAGAGAAAGGGAGAAGACUGACCGGGGAGAUAGUGAAGAGAAGAUGCGGCGGAGGAUCUGACGCCGAUCUCAAGGUCGAGAAACGUGUAUUGAACUGGGUAAGAAGUAGGUGUGGACUGUAGGAGUGGCCACAGCAAAGAGGAGAAGAAGAAGAAGGAAGAAGUAGGCAAAGUAGGGAAGGGAGUCAAAAGCCCUACGCACGAUGAGAGAGUCUCUCUCUCCUCUCUCCUCUCUCUCUCACCGCAUUUUCGAUAUUUUCUAUUUUUGUCUUUGUUUCCUUCUUUAUUCUUUUUUAGAUAUUGUGUGAUCUUAUUACGGUUUUUGCGUUUCGAUAAUACUUGGGCCUUCGGCCACUUUUAAUGGGUCUACCUUCCUUAAACUUGAGGCCUUUUAGAUAGGGCCGGUGGUGCCUUGCACAACUCUGUGUUGGCGGAUACAUCUUUGAAUAACAAGUAUUAUUUUAUCAUUACAUGCCGAAAUGCUAAAAUAAAAUUAGUCAAAUAAAUUUACCUAUAACAAUAAUCGACACGAUUUAUAGUGUUGUCAACAUCCGUAUUCUUUACCGUAAAUGAAUUGUUUAAUGAAGGCAGCUUAAUUUGUGAUUAUAUGCUUCUUCCAUGUGCCUCCUUCUCCGAAACUACACUCUCUGCAACUUAUCAAUCUCAUCUCAUCAAGGCACACAAAGAGGAGAGAGGACUUUCAUAUAUGCAAGUAUAAUACAUCACAGUAUUAAUUAGUACAUUAGUACUGGAAUAAAAGACACAGAAACUGGAUCCAAGAUGGCAAUGGCCGAACCAUUUAAGAUACUCAAAAAAUUAACAGCAAUGGACAAAAGACCAAAAAUUGUAACUGCUUCCUUCCAAUUUCAUGCAGCAAUCUGAUAUAGCCUCAUAGAAUCAGGUAUGAAGGACCAACACAAAACUUCUACAUGCCACAUGAACCUCUACAAAAUACAUCCACACUCUAGAAAUACAAAGGACUUUUUUAUCGACACGACAAUUGAAACAUACAAAUCAAAACAUUAAGGACCCCAACAUAGGGAACAAUACACAGUUUAGAAAACCUAAAUCAACAAAUCGUCUGUACCCAUAAAUUAUAAUCAAAGGGUAUGAAAACAUUGCAAAAAAAAAAAGAAUGAAAAGAGUAUAAAGUUAUUCCCAGAUAUCACCUAUGAUGAAAAGACGACCUUUGGUGAUUAAUAGGAAAAUUUCAGUCGUAUCCAGGAAAAAAUAGUCAGAUGUUAGCUAUUCCGGUGAUCUUUUGAAGCUCUGUAGAGCUGAUUGACUAGUGAUUUGUAAGAGGCCAAGUCAGCUACAAUCCCUAUCUCAGGUUUCUGUUUAUAAUGCUUCGAUGCAUUUGCAUGUCUAUGAUGACCUUCCAGUAGGAUGUUGUAUGUGAUGUCAUCCGGAACAGCUCCUAUAUUAAGCAUGGCAUCUAGCAACAUGUCAGCAUUCUUCAUCUGUCCCAACUUGCAUAGUCCAUUCAGCAGAACAUUAUACGUCACAACACUAGGAAUAUGCCCAUCGCUCUGCAUUUCCUUGAGCAGUUUGAAACCGGUUUGAACAUCACCUUUCUUGCAGAAUGCAUCCAUCAUCAUUGUAUAGGUUACAUCAUCCGGCUUCAUACCAGCUCGCAGCAUCUCCCUCAAAGCUCUUUCAGCAUCAAUGACUCUUCCUUCUUUGCACAUUCCACAAAUAAGAGCUGAGAAACCCACCCUAUCGAGUUCUAUCCCAUUCUGAUCCAUUUCCUUCCUUAUCUGCAAAGCUGUUUCUACGUCUCCUCCUCUACAAAAUCCAUCUAUAAGAGUUGUGUAUGUAAUUUUGUCAGGUCUCAGACCUCCACGGAUCAUCCCAUCAACUAUGUUCCUUGCAGCCACCAAAUCACCGUUCUUGCAAAAGCCAUUUACUAAAGUAUUAUAUAGAACAAUAUCAGGCUGAAGACCCCGACCUAACAUCUUCUCAUAACUUUCUUUCAUCAAGUCAAUCUGUCCACUCCUACUAUGACCAUGAAUCAAAGUAGUAAAAAUAACAUCAUUUGGGAUCAACCCUCUCUCACACAUCUCAUCAAACAGUUCAUGUGCUCUAUCCAUCUUACUCUCUUUACACAAUGCAUUAAUCAAGGCACUAUAGGUGAAAACAUCUGGGUGUGCUCUGCUUUUCUCCAUAUUAUGUUUGAGCCUAAACCCUUCAUCUGAGUUUCCCAUCUUACAGUAACCAUUUAUCAAAGUGUUGAAACUAACAACUGAAGGCUUCAAGCCCCUUUUAGCUAUUUCGUCGAACACCAUCUGGGCACCAGAUAUUUUGCCUUCUUUACAAAAUCUGUUCAUCAAAAUAUUGAAAACAUAGACAUUCAAGGGAAAGCCAGCAUCCAAAAUUUCCAUAUAGAAUCCCCAAACAGUCCCAGUUGGAUUCAGCUUCAUCAUCCGAUCAAGCAAAUUACCACAGCCACGAACUGGAACAACGAAUUUAUGCUUCCGAGAUAGCCUAAAAGAUUGAAUAGCAUCGGGUAUGAAUCCUUGUUCCGUGUACGUGAUCAUCAAAGCAUCAACAAGGAAAUCAAACAUAGGACUUCCUCUCAUUGCUACCAAAGCAACGAAAACUGAAGAAGCCGAGUUUUUGCCUUUACGAGAGACGACGAGCUCGAUAAGUGAUUGUGCUUCCGCGAACAUUUUGUGAACAGCAAGAAAACGAGCCAUGGCGAAGUAGGAUUCAGCGGUAAACCCAAAUCCAGGCUGAGAUGAGAUGAAUUUGAAGAAAGCGAAGAUAGAACGGUGCGGGAGGGAGAGAGGGUUGCGGUUGAUGAGAUCCACAACAUGACGAACGCUGAGCGAAGGUAGAACCUUCCUGAUGGAGGGGCAAGCAGUAAAACAAGAGAACUCCAAUGGCGGAUCCUUGUAAGCAUCUCUGAUGGCAAUUGAGAGUUUGACAAGAACUGGGUCAGCGUCGUUGUCAGCUUGAGAAAUUGAUUCUGGAGAGUACCAUGUUGAUGAGAGAGACGAUACACGAGAAAUUCUCUGAGAGUGAGAUCGAGUGAGUGUGCUUCUCAGAAAUUCGAUUCUGAACAUCUCUGACUCUCUCAGUUUCUCCGGCGCCGGCUACUUGGAGGGACUUUUGAAUUUAAAAAGUCAGCGAUAAUUAAACCAGGUUUUUGAAUAAUCCGUUAUGUUAAGACGGUAUGUUUCGGUUUGCUUUAAGUUCUAUGGUUCAAUGUGAGACAUGUCACAGAAAGCUCGAGUGUCAUACUAUUAUCAGUACUGGUAAGAGAUAAAAAUGUCUCCUUUAACAUCUUGAUUGAAAGCUGCUUUAUUCAAACAAAAGCAUUUGAUCAUCAUCAAAUAAAGAUGGUGGUAAAUGAUAACACAAAUAAAAGAAAGGAGAUAAGGAGUGUGAUGGUUAUAAACGAGACAAAAGUUUUGCUUCAUAGAAGAAUAUCUGGGCAUUCUACAGAAAUUGUAGCUAAGACACAUGAAGAGAAACUCAGAAACGCAAGAAGAAACUGCAAAAUACUGGGAAGGUAGAACUAAUAGCCUCCCUUGAGAUCGUUGACAACAUCGUAAGGGAUUGGAGUGACAGUCUCCAAGGUCAUGCCUUCAACCAUGAAUCCUGGNNN